UGUUGCCUCGGCGGGAUCUCUGCCCCGGGUGCGUCGCAGCCCCGGACCAAGGCGCCCGCCGGAGGACCAACCAAAACUCUUAUUGUAUACCCCCUCGCGGGUUUUUUUUAUAAUCUGAGCCUUCUCGGCGCCUCUCGUAGGCGUUUCGAAAAUGAAUCAAAACUUUCAACAACGGAUCUCUUGGUUCUGGCAUCGAUGAAGAACGCAGCGAAAUGCGAUAAGUAAUGUGAAUUGCAGAAUUCAGUGAAUCAUCGAAUCUUUGAACGCACAUUGCGCCCGCCAGUAUUCUGGCGGGCAUGCCUGUCCGAGCGUCAUUUCAACCCUCGAACCCCUCCGGGGGGUCGGCGUUGGGGAUCGGCCCUGCCUUUGGCGGUGGCCGUCUCCGAAAUACAGUGGCGGUCUCGCCGCAGCCUCUCCUGCGCAGUAGUUUGCACACUCGCAUCGGGAGCGCGGCGCGUCCACAGCCGUUAAACACCCAACUUCUGAAAUGUUGACCUCGGAUCAGGUAGGAAUACCCGCUGAACUUAA
RNAcentral lists this ribosomal RNA (528 nucleotides) under Trichoderma aureoviride. RNAcentral's name for it is "eukaryotic LSU rRNA". The stretch from base 161 to 314 matches the Rfam family "5.8S ribosomal RNA". The record is from RNAcentral. Lineage: Eukaryota; Fungi; Ascomycota; Sordariomycetes; Hypocreales; Hypocreaceae.